AUGUAUCUCUUUUCCCUUAUGUAUUACAUGGGUUUGUGUGAAGAUUACCUCACUUGCGACAUUGCUUUCAAUGUGGUUAUGCCUCUAAGUCGUGCUUCAACACGUGGGAGAUAUAGUCGCAUCGAGGGCGUUACAAUAUCCUCCAUACCCAUAUGGCUCGAGGAGAUGAUCUCCAUGCCAUCAAGUACUUACCCCUCAAGCUCAAAGGGCCAUCUCGGCACUAGCUUAAAAGCCUCCCCGAAAGCUCCAUUGGAAGCUGGGAAGAGCUCGAAAACGCUUUUCGGGAAAAUUUUCAGGGGACUUAUGUACAACCUCCGGAUGCGGAUGAUUUGCGUCAUAUAA
This 342-nucleotide ribosomal RNA is filed under the name Triticum aestivum (bread wheat). Its description in RNAcentral is "partial small subunit ribosomal RNA". The record is from RNAcentral. Lineage: Eukaryota; Viridiplantae; Streptophyta; Magnoliopsida; Poales; Poaceae.